CCUCGGACCCCGCUGUCGGGCGAAGCCAGGGUUGCCGGCCCGGCCGCAGAGCAGCCCCGGGAUGGAGCGCUGCCGGCGCGCCCCGGAGGACGGGAAAGGGCGCAGCGUCGGGCGGGUGAUGCCAGGUCUGAAGGAGCCCCGCGCGGGCGCGCUGCGAGGCGCAGGCUGGACGGGAGGGGGCCCGUAGGACGGCCUAGGCCAUCAGGUGCCAAUGGGACCUUGCCCUUCUUAAAGCCCGGGCUGUGCCUGGGGGACGGGCGGCUCCCGAGACUGAGCUACUCCGGGCUGGCCGGUAAACAACUGCGCUCUUAGAAGGGUGGUUCGAAAAUCCUCGAGGUUCCAGGAUUUUCUACGGCUUGUAGAGACCUCGCAACACUUGCUCACGGGAGAGGAAACAAGUGAGCAUGCCUUUCCGUCUACCUGAUCUAAAUUAAAGCAGUUUUCUGCACAGACAGGAGCUGUAGAAGAGAAUCAGGAAGUACACCGUGGCACUUCCUGGGAACAGAAGUAAUUGGGGAGAGGCCGUUGUCUUUCCACUUAGGAACAGCUUCUUCUAAUCUGGAAAAGCAAAUAUGAAUUUACAGGGUCCGUUCAGCACAAAGCCAAGAGAACUUCAUGUUGAUGAAAGUCUGCCAAAGCAACCAUAGCAGCAGCAUGGGCUGACGGCAGGUGGAAAGACUGUGGGACUGCCCACGCCGGCUGCCGGCUCUGCAACUCCACACGGCAUCUCCCUGAGACCGCUCUCCACGCGGUGCUCCCUUCAGGUCGUCAGGAGCCUCUCCUCUCCUGGCUGUGGACCUCUGACAGAAUGUGGCCACAUUCCCUACUGCCUCAUCACCCACGCGUCCCCCGGUGCCCGUCCUGGCUUUGCCCCGUCCACUCCUGGGAAGCUGACAUCCCUGAGGCCACCACGAACCUUCAAGCAGCCCAAACCAGGGCCCGCCUGCUCCCUCGGCUUGUGUAACUCGGCUCCCUCCGGGCUUCCUUCCA
Hyaena hyaena (striped hyena) is the source of this 990-nucleotide long non-coding RNA. RefSeq lists it as uncharacterized. The transcript has 4 exons. The record is from RefSeq and is a predicted model, not a curated record. NCBI's taxonomy places the organism in Eukaryota, Metazoa, Chordata, Mammalia, Carnivora, Hyaenidae.